UACGUAGGGGGCGAGCGUUGUCCGGAGUUACUGGGCGUAAAGGGCAUGCAGGCGGUCAGGCGCGUUUCGGGUGACAGCGGGUGGCUUAACUACCCGAGUGUUCGAAAGACGGCGUGACUUGAGAGCGAGAGAGGGACACGGAAUUCCGGGUGGAGUGGUGAAAUGCGUAGAGAUCCGGAGGAACACCGAAGGCGAAGGCAGUGUCCUGGCUCGCGACUGACGCUGAGGUGCGAAAGCUAGGGGAGCGAACGG
This 252-nucleotide ribosomal RNA is filed under the name uncultured bacterium. RNAcentral describes it as "partial 16S ribosomal RNA". It matches the Rfam family "Bacterial small subunit ribosomal RNA", at positions 524 to 775 of the family's 1533-position model. The record is from RNAcentral.